RNAcentral lists this ribosomal RNA (570 nucleotides) under uncultured fungus. Its description in RNAcentral is "eukaryotic LSU rRNA". The stretch from base 208 to 361 matches the Rfam family "5.8S ribosomal RNA". Lineage: Eukaryota; Fungi. The record is from RNAcentral.
CGUAACAAGGUCUCCGUANGUGAACCUGCGGAGGGAUCAUUACACAAAUAUGAAGGCGGGCUGGAACCUCUCGGGGUUACAGCCUUGCUGAAUUAUUCACCCUUGUCUUUUGCGUACUUCUUGUUUCCUUGGUGGGUUCGCCCACCACUAGGACAAACAUAAACCUUUUGUAAUUGCAAUCAGCGUCAGUAACAAAUUAAUAAUUACAACUUUCAACAACGGAUCUCUUGGUUCUGGCAUCGAUGAAGAACGCAGCGAAAUGCGAUAAGUAGUGUGAAUUGCAGAAUUCAGUGAAACAUCGAAUCUUUGGACGCACAUUGCGCCCUUUGGUAUUCCAAAGGGCAUGCCUGUUCGAGCGUCAUUUGUACACUCAAGCUUUGCUUGGUGUUGGGCGUCUUGUCUCUAGCUUUGCUGGAGACUCGCCUUAAAGUAAUUGGCAGCCGGCCUACUGGUUUCGGAGCGCAGCACAAGUCGCACUCUCUAUCAGCAAAGGUCUAGCAUCCAUUAAGCCUUUUUUUCAACUUUUGACCUCGGAUCAGGUAGGGAUACCCGCUGAACUUAAGCAUAUCA